CCUACGGGGUGCAGCAGUGAGGAAUAUUGGUCAAUGGCCGGAAGGCUGAACCAGCCAAGCCGCGUGAAGGACGAAGGUGCCAAGCAUUGUAAACUUCUUUUGUCAAGGGACAAAAUCAGGCUCGAGAGCCUGACCGAGGGUACUUUAAGAAAAAGCAUCGGCUAACUCCGUGCCAGCAGCCGCGGUAAUACGGAGGAUCCGAGCGUUAUCCGGAUUUAUUGGGUGUAAAGGGAGCGCAGGCGGCACGGCAAGCCUGAUGUGAAAGCCCGCGGCCCAACCGCGGGAUUGCAUUGGAAACUACCAGGCUGGAGUGCAGGAGAGGUAGGCGGAAUUCCUAGUGUAGCGGUGAAAUGCGUAGAUAUUAGGAGGAACCCCAGUGGCGAAGGCGGCCUACUGGACGGUGACUGACGCUGAGGCUCGAAAGCGUGGGGAGCAAACAGGAUUAGAUACCCGAGUAGUC
Molecule: ribosomal RNA, 460 nt
Filed under: uncultured bacterium
Lineage: Bacteria
Description: partial 16S ribosomal RNA
Rfam family: Bacterial small subunit ribosomal RNA
Source: RNAcentral